GGAUUCNCUAGUAGCGGCGAGCGAACCGGAAGAGCCCAGCUUGAAAAUCGUGAGGCUUGGCUUUACGAAUUGUAGUCUGGAGAAGCGUCCUCUGCAGCGGACCGGGCCCAAGUUCCCUGGAACGGGACGUCGGAGAGGGUGAGAGCCCCGUCGAGCUCGGACCCUGCUGCUCCACGAGGCGCUGUCGGCGAGUCGGGCUGUUUGGGAAUGCAGCCCUAAGUGGGUGGUAAAUUCCAUCCAAGGCUAAAUACUGGCAGGAGACCGAUAGCAAACAAGUACCGCGAGGGAAAGAUGAAAAGGACUUUGAAAAGAGAGUUAAAGAGUGCUUGAAAUUGCUGGGAGGGAAGCGAAUGGAGGCUGCGGGUGUGCCCCGGUUGGAUGCGGAACGGCGCAAGCUGGUCCGCCGCUCAACGCGGGGUGCUGGUCAGCGUGGGCUAUCCCGGCGGGACAAGAGCGAGCUUAUGUUGCUGGCCUAUGCCGUUGGGGUGGCCGAGGAAGGAAGCGCGCGCCUUCGGGCGGCCCUCGGGACCUGCGCGCUCGGGACGCUGGCGUAUUGAGCUUUCCAUCCGGCCCGUCUUGAAACACGGACCAAGGAGUCUAACAUGUAUGCGAGCCGGUGGGUGGCAAACCCAUGGAGGCGCAAGUAACCUGACAGGUGGGAUCCGCAAGGAGCACCAUCGACCGACCAUGAUCUUCUGUGAAAGGUUUGAGUGUGAGCAUACCUGCUGGGACCCGAAAGAUGGUGAACUAUGCCUGAGCAGGGCGAAGCCAGAGGAAACUCUGGUGGAGGCUCGUAGCGAUACUGACGUGCAAAUCGUUCGUCAGACUUGGGUAUAGGGGCGAAAGACUAAUCGAACCAUCUAGUAGCUGGUUCCCUCCGAAGUUUCCCUCAGGAUAGCUGGAGCUCAUGUAAGAGUUUUAUCAGGUAAAGCGAAUGAUUAGAGGCAUCGGGGGUGAAACACCCUCGACCUAUUCUCAAACUUUAAAUGGGUAAGCCGCCGGGGUGCUGAUGACCCCGCAGAG
This 1023-nucleotide ribosomal RNA is filed under the name Pseudocephalozia lepidozioides. RNAcentral describes it as "eukaryotic LSU rRNA". It matches the Rfam family "Eukaryotic large subunit ribosomal RNA", at positions 72 to 1108 of the family's 3401-position model. Lineage: Eukaryota; Viridiplantae; Streptophyta; Jungermanniopsida; Jungermanniales; Lepidoziaceae. The record is from RNAcentral.